RNAcentral lists this ribosomal RNA (253 nucleotides) under uncultured bacterium. Its description in RNAcentral is "partial 16S ribosomal RNA". It matches the Rfam family "Bacterial small subunit ribosomal RNA", at positions 524 to 776 of the family's 1533-position model. The record is from RNAcentral.
UACGUAGGGGGCAAGCGUUGUCCGGAAUCAUUGGGCGUAAAGAGCGUGUAGGCGGUCCGGUCAGUCGGCUGUGAAAGUCCAGGGCUCAACCCUGGGAUGCCGGUCGAUACUGCCGGACUAGAGUUCGGAAGAGGCGAGUGGAAUUCCCGGUGUAGCGGUGAAAUGCGCAGAUAUCGGGAGGAACACCUAUGGCGAAGGCAGCUCGCUGGGACGUUACUGACGCUGAGACGCGAAAGCGUGGGGAGCAAACAGG